This 425-nucleotide ribosomal RNA is filed under the name uncultured bacterium. RNAcentral describes it as "partial 16S ribosomal RNA". It matches the Rfam family "Bacterial small subunit ribosomal RNA", at positions 354 to 796 of the family's 1533-position model. The record is from RNAcentral.
GUGGGGAAUCUUGCGCAAUGGGCGAAAGCCUGACGCAGCCAUGCCGCGUGAAUGAUGAAGGUCUUAGGAUUGUAAAAUUCUUUCACCGGGGACGAUAAUGACGGUACCCGGAGAAGAAGCUCCGGCUAACUUCGUGCCAGCAGCCGCGGUAAUACGAAGGGGGCUAGCGUUGCUCGGAAUUACUGGGCGUAAAGGGCGCGUAGGCGGACAGCUUAGUCAGAGGUGAAAGCCCAGGGCUCAACCUUGGAAUUGCCUUUGAUACUGGCUGUCUUGAGUUUGGGAGAGGUGAGUGGAACUCCGAGUGUAGAGGUGAAAUUCGUAGAUAUUCGGAAGAACACCAGUGGCGAAGGCGACUCACUGGCCCAAUACUGACGCUGAGGCGCGAAAGCGUGGGGAGCAAACAGGGUUAGAUACCCCAGUAGUCC